UACGUAGGGUGCAAGCGUUGUCCGGAAUUAUUGGGCGUAAAGAGCUCGUAGGCGGUUUGUCGCGUCGGCUGUGAAAACCUGGGGGCUCAACCCCGGGCCUGCAGCCGAUACGGGCAAACUAGAAUUCGGUAGGGGAGACUGGAAUUCCUGGUGUAGCGGUGAAAUGCGCAGAUAUCAGGAGGAACACCGGUGGCGAAGGCGGGUCUCUGGGCCGAUAUUGACGCUGAGGAGCGAAAGCGUGGGGGAGCAAACAGG
Molecule: ribosomal RNA, 255 nt
Filed under: uncultured bacterium
Lineage: Bacteria
Description: partial 16S ribosomal RNA
Rfam family: Bacterial small subunit ribosomal RNA
Source: RNAcentral